UACGUAUGUCCCGAGCGUUAUCCGGAUUUAUUGGGCGUAAAGCGAGCGCAGACGGUUCGAUAAGUCUGAAGUGAAAGCCCACAGCUCAACUGUGGAAUGGCUUUGGAAACUGUCGAACUUGAGUGCAGUAGAGGUAAGUGGAACUCCAUGUGUAGCGGUGGAAUGCGUAGAUAUAUGGAAGAACACCAGUGGCGAAGGCGGCUUACUGGACUGCAACUGACGUUGAGGCUCGAAAGUGUGGGUAGCAAACAGG
Molecule: ribosomal RNA, 253 nt
Filed under: uncultured bacterium
Lineage: Bacteria
Description: partial 16S ribosomal RNA
Rfam family: Bacterial small subunit ribosomal RNA
Source: RNAcentral